Molecule: long non-coding RNA, 1830 nt
Organism: Apteryx rowi (Okarito brown kiwi)
Lineage: Eukaryota; Metazoa; Chordata; Aves; Apterygiformes; Apterygidae
Source: Ensembl
AUCCGCCGGCGCCAGCCUGUGGAGGUGGUCGGCUAAGGAGGUGCGUUUUGAAACGAAGAGCCCUGGAAAGGAAAAGGUGCUCUGGGGUUUGAGGCCUCUUGGGGGUUGCGGCUGUGGCUUUGCUGGGCGCGAACAGACGCAGGCCUGAGCCCGGACUAGAGGAAGGCAGCGCUGUGUGUGCGGGUGCUGAGGCAGGUGGGAGCCGUCGCCUCGUCACCUCAUCACCUCGUUACCUCGUGCCUUGGGAGCGCGAGGAGCAGGGGCAGGUGUCUGGGCGGCUUGUUUUGUGCCCAAGCCCCGGCAGCGCUGUGCUUGACCGUCCAUUUGCUUGGCCUGCGCUCUCCGGGGAGAGCUUGCAGGGCCACGAGGGGAGCACGGGGCUGGAGGAGCAUGGCAGGGGCCGUGGGUUUUGCUUUUUUGGGUUUUUGGGUUUUUUUCCUUUUUUCUUUCUUUAGUACUUUUCUACAAGCAACCUUUUGCCAGCGGCAGGAACCUAGGUUUUUCGACUCGUCGCGGUCGCAGACCUGGCCGCCUGCCCCGCUCCGCCUGCUCACUGGGCGGCCGCGCUUCGUGGGCCCUGGCCCGUGCCGCCCCUCGUCCCUCGUGUCCCGGCCCCAUCGCCUUCCCCGGAGAGUUUUAAAACCUUCUUGUUCCAGUGAGAUCUGAUCAUAAAAGUUAUCCUGCAGAGAAAAAGUACCAGGCCUGGAGCUUGAAUUCAGCUGGAAGCCUUUUAAGGGAUGCAGCUUUCUUGAUAGCAUGGAUAACUGACAGCAAAACCACUGGCGAAUGUGUAGUCAACAGUCAGGUGCCUGCUUGGUCCCAGAAAAGGUAGCUGAGAAAGCAGUGGCAUUCCCUGGCAGAGGAGGCAGAGUAGUCCCUUGGCGAGAGGCGGCAGCGGGACCACGCCGCUCUGCGGAGCACCUGAACACAGCGCCGAGUGCCGUGAUGGAUAAAGGGAGGCCACCUGGCUCCCGGGCCCUCAGCAGAUCCCUUCCUGCCUCUCUCUCCUUGUACACCACAGAAAAAGUCAUCCUGGUCUUCUGGCGAGCCUGUGCCAGCCUUUCUAAACGAUACUACGAGGCUCCAUCUAGAAAUGACAUGAGCUGCUUCUGGGCUGAAGCAAGGACUUCUGCUGGUUGGCAAGAGGCUCUGGAGGAGACUGCACUUACACCAAACUCUAGCAAUGUGAUUCUGCCAGGCGAGGAUGCAUUCACAUGCAUCCAGGAUCAUGCUUAUGAAAUCAGCUUGAAGACCAAGGGAGAGACGGUAGCAAGAGACUGUCAGAUCUCAGCUACUGAACAGUCUGUACGCUCACACUGCAGUGUGGAAGAAACAGAAGAUGCCUUUCUAAUACCAGUGAGAAUGUGUCAGCAGAGAAGGUUGGCUGAUAAAAGACAAGGACUAGGAGGAGACGUCUUCAGGAGCAGGACCUGGGCUGUGCUGCGGUGGUCUUUCAGCAUGUCCGGGAGCCAAGACAAGUCGGCCCUCAGUGACCCCGCUACAUUCAGCACCACUGGACAAAGGAUUAAUGAAAAAAAUGGCUGUCACAGGCUUAAAAAUAGCCUGCCAUAUGCCCAUGCGAAAGCUCGGAAAGCUCCACCAGGGAUGCGGGGUCGGCGCUCGCGCCCCAGCGUUGCAGCCCCCCGCUGCAGCAGGCGUCGCGGCCUCGAGCAGAGCUGCGCAGCCCCCAUCGCACUCACAGGAACGUGCCCCGGCCCAGCCAGCGCCCCGGGGAACCGGCGGGCUCGGCUCAGCCCCUUGCCUACCAACCGAGGCGAUACCUGAGCCGUCUUCUGCUGAACAGGAAACCCAACCCGCUCAUUUUAUACC